UAUAAUACUUCACCAGUCAGCUACAGGGAGACUCCCUUCUCUAGAUCUUAACAGUAGCUGUUGCUGGGUCACACGCUCAUCCUGCUCUGUUCCUUAAUGGUAGUAUGUGAAAUUAUGGUGUUUCAAAACCUCACAAUCAUACAGAACAAUGAAACAACAAAAUGAACACAGAACCCAUCUCCCCAGAGAGAACACAAAGAGGAGUCAGAUGGUGGAGAUUCAUGAAGAGAAAAGAUGCCAGAGCAUGCUAUAUCUGGCUCACAGGAAAAACUAGAACUCUCCCUGCCAGUUAUUCCGUCCCUUACCAAUCUUGGCUAAGGAGGCCAGCAGGAUCCAGAGGGUGAUCUCAAAGGGGAUCUGCACGUGGGGGUAAUCCAAGGUGAAGACGUGCAGCCUGGUCUCCUCGAAAGGGGUCCCACUUGGUGCCGCCUGCAGGAUUUCCGCUCUGGGAGUAGGACUGAUACCCAUCAUUGCAGCCGACUCGGGCAACCCAGUUUCCAAGAGGGUGGAAAUGACGCCAAGCUGCAGGAGCCAAGCCAGCAGCAGCAGCGAGGGAGCGAGUCCAAGGACCAACCGGGGACACCCACCUGCCUGAUAAUGGCUGCAAUGCCGCUCGAGGCCCCGGCCUGUGGGUCCAGCCGGUGCAUCGUCAUCGUGUGUCACCCCCCCUCAUGGUGUCACCUGCGUGCGGCCCGCACCACCCGCACCCCCUUAGUGAUGCCCCUGUAUUUUAACCCAUAGGUUAAACAUAUUGUUAUUUAUUUCUGUUGUCUGAGUGGACAGUGAAAUGUGA
Molecule: long non-coding RNA, 793 nt
Organism: Rhineura floridana
Lineage: Eukaryota; Metazoa; Chordata; Lepidosauria; Squamata; Rhineuridae
Exons: 4
Source: RefSeq, a predicted model, not a curated record